UACGUAGGGUGCGAGCGUUAAUCGGAAUUACUGGGCGUAAAGCGUGCGCAGGCGGUUCGUUGUGUCGGCGGUGAAAGCCCCGGGCUUAACCUGGGAAUGGCCGUUGAAACUGGCGAACUGGAGUGUGGCAGAGGGGGGUGGAAUUCCGCGUGGUAGCAGUGAAAUGCGUAGAGAUGCGGAGGAACACCGAUGGCGAAGGCACCCCCCUGGGCUAACACUGACGCCUCAGGCACGAAAGCGUGGGGAGCAAACAGG
Molecule: ribosomal RNA, 255 nt
Filed under: uncultured bacterium
Lineage: Bacteria
Description: partial 16S ribosomal RNA
Rfam family: Bacterial small subunit ribosomal RNA
Source: RNAcentral